Molecule: ribosomal RNA, 902 nt
Filed under: Pseudomonas brassicacearum
Lineage: Bacteria; Pseudomonadati; Pseudomonadota; Gammaproteobacteria; Pseudomonadales; Pseudomonadaceae
Description: bacterial SSU rRNA
Rfam family: Bacterial small subunit ribosomal RNA
Source: RNAcentral
CCGUCAGAUUGAACGCUGGCGGCAGGCCUAACACAUGCAAGUCGAGCGGUAGAGAGGUGCUUGCACCUCUUGAGAGCGGCGGACGGGUGAGUAAUGCCUAGGAAUCUGCCUGGUAGUGGGGGAUAACGCUCGGAAACGGACGCUAAUACCGCAUACGUCCUACGGGAGAAAGCAGGGGACCUUCGGGCCUUGCGCUAUCAGAUGAGCCUAGGUCGGAUUAGCUAGUUGGUGGGGUAAUGGCUCACCAAGGCGACGAUCCGUAACUGGUCUGAGAGGAUGAUCAGUCACACUGGAACUGAGACACGGUCCAGACUCCUACGGGAGGCAGCAGUGGGGAAUAUUGGACAAUGGGCGAAAGCCUGAUCCAGCCAUGCCGCGUGUGUGAAGAAGGUCUUCGGAUUGUAAAGCACUUUAAGUUGGGAGGAAGGGCAUUAACCUAAUACGUUAGUGUUUUGACGUUACCGACAGAAUAAGCACCGGCUAACUCUGUGCCAGCAGCCGCGGUAAUACAGAGGGUGCAAGCGUUAAUCGGAAUUACUGGGCGUAAAGCGCGCGUAGGUGGUUCGUUAAGUUGGAUGUGAAAGCCCCGGGCUCAACCUGGGAACUGCAUUCAAAACUGUCGAGCUAGAGUAUGGUAGAGGGUGGUGGAAUUUCCUGUGUAGCGGUGAAAUGCGUAGAUAUAGGAAGGAACACCAGUGGCGAAGGCGACCACCUGGACUGAUACUGACACUGAGGUGCGAAAGCGUGGGGAGCAAACAGGAUUAGAUACCCUGGUAGUCCACGCCGUAAACGAUGUCAACUAGCCGUUGGGAGCCUUGAGCUCUUAGUGGCGCAGCUAACGCAUUAAGUUGACCGCCUGGGGAGUACGGCCGCAAGGUUAAAACUCAAGGAAAUUGAACGGG